UACGUAGGGGGCAAGCGUUGUCCGGAAUCAUUGGGCGUAAAGAGCGUGUAGGCGGUCCGGUAAGUCGGUUGUGAAAGUCCAGGGCUCAACCCUGGGAUGCCGACCGAUACUGUCGGACUAGAGUUCGGAAGAGGCGAGUGGAAUUCCCGGUGUAGCGGUGAAAUGCGCAGAUAUCGGGAGGAACACCUAUGGCGAAGGCAGCUCGCUGGGACGUUACUGACGCUGAGACGCGAAAGCGUGGGGAGCAAACAGG
Molecule: ribosomal RNA, 253 nt
Filed under: uncultured bacterium
Lineage: Bacteria
Description: partial 16S ribosomal RNA
Rfam family: Bacterial small subunit ribosomal RNA
Source: RNAcentral